This 87-nucleotide ribosomal RNA is filed under the name Chloropicon laureae. Its description in RNAcentral is "partial Trypanosomatid mitochondrial large subunit ribosomal RNA". Lineage: Eukaryota; Viridiplantae; Chlorophyta; Chloropicophyceae; Chloropicales; Chloropicaceae. The record is from RNAcentral.
AAGAAUAUCAGUUAAAAAAACUAUUAAAGUAAGUAAAAAAUAAAAGAUAAAAAAAGAUUUAAAGUUUUUAGAUCAGUCCGGCUUCCC